AUUUAUAUAAUAUAAUUAGUAUAUUUGACUUCCAAUCAAAAAGUUUAAAAAAAAAAUUAAUAUAAAUA
This 68-nucleotide transfer RNA is filed under the name Eumeta variegata. Its description in RNAcentral is "Clania variegata tRNA-Gly". The record is from RNAcentral. Lineage: Eukaryota; Metazoa; Arthropoda; Insecta; Lepidoptera; Psychidae.